CGGGAUGUGGCUCAGCUUGGUAGAGCGCUUGGUUUGGGACCAAGAUGCCGCAGGUUCGAAUCCUGUCAUCCCGACCA
This 77-nucleotide transfer RNA is filed under the name Clostridiales bacterium. RNAcentral describes it as "tRNA-Pro". It matches the Rfam family "tRNA". Rfam says of the family: Transfer RNA (tRNA) molecules are approximately 80 nucleotides in length. Their secondary structure includes four short double-helical elements and three loops (D, anti-codon, and T loops). Further hydrogen bonds mediate the characteristic L-shaped molecular structure. tRNAs have two regions of fundamental functional importance: the anti-codon, which is responsible for specific mRNA codon recognition, and the 3' end, to which the tRNAs corresponding amino acid is attached (by aminoacyl-tRNA synthetases). tRNAs cope with the degeneracy of the genetic code in two manners: having more than one tRNA (with a specific anti-codon) for a particular amino acid; and 'wobble' base-pairing, i.e. permitting non-standard base-pairing at the 3rd anti-codon position. Lineage: Bacteria; Bacillati; Bacillota; Clostridia; Eubacteriales. The record is from RNAcentral.